This 131-nucleotide ribosomal RNA is filed under the name Aspergillus caninus. Its description in RNAcentral is "partial 28S ribosomal RNA". It matches the Rfam family "Eukaryotic large subunit ribosomal RNA", at positions 1 to 127 of the family's 3401-position model. The record is from RNAcentral. Lineage: Eukaryota; Fungi; Ascomycota; Eurotiomycetes; Eurotiales; Aspergillaceae.
AUGUUGACCUCGGAUCAGGUAGGGAUACCCGCUGAACUUAAGCAUAUCAAUAAGCGGAGGAAAAGAAACCAACCGGGAUUGCCUCAGUAACGGCGAGUGAAGCGGCAAGAGCUCAAAUUUGAAAUCUGGCC